UGGUAGUCGAUCCUGUAGUCUUGCCUCAUACAGGGUGGGAAAAGUCCCCCAAGGCCGAUCAAGUGCUCUGCUGGCUGGCCCAACCAUGGAUUCGCGGGUGUCCGGCUGGUUAUAUUUUGCGGUCCAGUGAGGAUAAACUGCAUACCAACAGCUGCGGAUCGACAGCUUUCGUCGAUACUUCGGAGAAUUUGACAUCACAUCGAUUCAUCACUCCACCACGACGCAUCGGUCCAUCAAAUUCCAAGAAUUCAAACAAACGAUCUUUGACAAUGGUGCCGUGUAGCCUAUGGGUAAUAGACGCUUCUCCCCAACAAAACCCUUUCGAUUUUUAAAAGGGAAGCUUCCGUCACAAUGAGCUAUUCCAUUUUCAGGCAAAGUACUUCUAUAAUUAACAGAGUUGUACUGGCCUGAAAAAAAUGGGGGUCAAAGAUACAGAAACUAGAAAACAUUGGUCAUUUCAAUAUAAUUUUUAUAAAACAUUUUUUUUGGGUUGGGUGGGGCUGAGGCUUAUUGUCCUUAAUUGUUUGGUAGUGGGAGAACUACCCUCGUCCGAAGAGUAAUAUAGAUAAAGCAA
Nematostella vectensis (starlet sea anemone) is the source of this 574-nucleotide long non-coding RNA. RefSeq lists it as uncharacterized. The record is from RefSeq and is a predicted model, not a curated record. Lineage: Eukaryota; Metazoa; Cnidaria; Anthozoa; Actiniaria; Edwardsiidae. The transcript is spliced from 2 exons.